GCCUACAGCCAUACCACCCUGAACCCAAUCUCGUCGGAUCUUGGAAGCUAAGCAGGGUCAGGCCUGGUUAGUACUUGGAUGGGAGAAGUUUGUCCCAGGAAGUUACAUUGAAGGCAAGACCUGAGAGCU
Molecule: ribosomal RNA, 129 nt
Filed under: Prolemur simus (greater bamboo lemur)
Lineage: Eukaryota; Metazoa; Chordata; Mammalia; Primates; Lemuridae
Source: RNAcentral